This 513-nucleotide ribosomal RNA is filed under the name uncultured Glomus. RNAcentral's name for it is "SSU rRNA". It matches the Rfam family "Eukaryotic small subunit ribosomal RNA", at positions 569 to 1083 of the family's 1831-position model. Lineage: Eukaryota; Fungi; Glomeromycota; Glomeromycetes; Glomerales; Glomeraceae. The record is from RNAcentral.
AGCAGCCGCGGUAAUUCCAGCUCCAAUAGCGUAUAUUAAAGUUGUUGCAGUUAAAAAGCUCGUAGUUGAAUUUCGGGGUUAGUAGGUUGGUCAUGCCUCUGGUAUGUACUGGUCUCACUGAUUCCUCCUUCCUGAUGAGCCGUAAUGCCAUUAAUUUGGUGUUGCGGGGAAUUUGGACUGUUACUUUGAAAAAAUUAGAGUGUUUAAAGCAGGCUCACGCUUGAAUACAUUAGCAUGGAAUAAUGAAAUAGGACGUUUGAUCCUAUUUUGUUGGCUUCUAGGAUUGACGUAAUGAUUAAUAGGGAUAGUUGGGGGCAUUAGUAUUCAAUUGUCAGAGGUGAAAUUCUCGGAUUUAUUGAGGACUAACUACUGCGAAAGCAUUUGCCAAGGAUGUUUUCAUUAAUCAAGAACGAAAGUUAGGGGAUCGAAGACGAUCAGAUACCGUCGUAGUCUUAACCAUAAACUAUGCCGACUAGGAAUCAGACGAUGUUAAUUUUUUAAUGACUCGUUUGG